Molecule: ribosomal RNA, 484 nt
Filed under: uncultured bacterium
Lineage: Bacteria
Description: partial 16S ribosomal RNA
Rfam family: Bacterial small subunit ribosomal RNA
Source: RNAcentral
AUUGAACGCUGGCGGCAGGCCUAACACAUGCAAGUCGAGCGGAUGAAGGGAGCUUGCUCCUGGAUUCAGCGGCGGACGGGUGAGUAAUGCCUAGGAAUCUGCCUGGUAGUGGGGGAUAACGUCCGGAAACGGGCGCUAAUACCGCAUACGUCCUGAGGGAGAAAGUGGGGGAUCUUCGGACCUCACGCUAUCAGAUGAGCCUAGGUCGGAUUAGCUAGUUGGUGGGGUAAAGCCCUACCAAGGCGACGAUCCGUAACUGGUCUGAGAGGAUGAUCAGUCACACUGGAACUGAGAAACGGUCCAGACUCCUACGGGAGGCAGCAGUGGGGAAUAUUGGACAAUGGGCGAAAGCCUGAUCCAGCCAUGCCGCGUGUGUGAAGAAGGUCUUCGGAUUGUAAAGCACUUUAAGUUGGGAGGAAGGGCAGUAAGUUAAUACCUUGCUGUUUUGACGUUACCAACAGAAUAAGCACCGGCUAACUUCGUG